This 497-nucleotide ribosomal RNA is filed under the name uncultured bacterium. RNAcentral's name for it is "partial 16S ribosomal RNA". It matches the Rfam family "Bacterial small subunit ribosomal RNA", at positions 28 to 507 of the family's 1533-position model. The record is from RNAcentral.
GAUGAACGCUGGCGGCGUGCCUAAUACAUGCAAGUCGAGCGAACAGACGAGGAGCUUGCUCCCCUGACUUUAGCGGCGGACGGGUGAGUAACACGUGGAUAACCUACCUAUAAGACUGGGAUGAUUUCGGGAAACCGGGGCUAAUACCGGAUGAUAUAUUGAACCGCAUUGUGCAAUAGUGAAAGACGGUUUUGCUGUCACUUAUAGCUGGAUCCGCGUCGCAUUAGCUAGUUGGUAAGGUAACGGCUUAGCAAGGCAACGAUGCGUAGCCGACCUGAGAGGGUGAUCGGCCACACUGGAACUGAGACACGGUACAGACUCCUACGGGAGGACGCAGUAGGGAAUCUUCCGCAAUGGGCGAAAGCCUGACGGAGCAAAGCCGCGUGAGUGAUGAAGGUCUUCGGAUCGUAAAACUCUGUUAUUAGGGAAGAACAAAUGUGUAAGUAACUAUGCACGUCUUGACGGUACCGAAUCAGAAAGCCACGGCUAACUACGUG